This 485-nucleotide ribosomal RNA is filed under the name uncultured Corynebacterium sp. Its description in RNAcentral is "bacterial SSU rRNA". It matches the Rfam family "Bacterial small subunit ribosomal RNA", at positions 8 to 507 of the family's 1533-position model. The record is from RNAcentral. Lineage: Bacteria; Bacillati; Actinomycetota; Actinomycetes; Mycobacteriales; Corynebacteriaceae.
AGAGUUUGAGUCCUGGCUCAGGACGAACGCUGCGGCGUGCUUAACACAUGCAAGUCGACGGAAAGGCCCUGCUUGCAGGGUACUCGAGUGGCGAACGGGUGAGUAACACGUGGGUGAUCUGCCCUGCACUUCGGGAUAAGCCUGGGAAACUGGGUCUAAUACCGGAUAGGAGCCAUUUUUAGUGUGAUGGUUGGAAAGUUUUUUCCGGUGUAGGAUGAGCUCGCGGCCUAUCAGCUUGUUGGUGGGGUAAUGGCCUACCAAGGCGGCGACGGGUAGCCGGCCUGAGAGGGUGGACGGCCACAUUGGGACUGAGAUACGGCCCAGACCCCUACGGGAGGCAGCAGUGGGGAAUAUUGCACAAUGGGCGCAAGCCUGAUGCAGCGACGCCGCGUGGGGGAUGACGGCCUUCGGGUUGUAAACUCCUUUCGCUAGGGACGAAGCUUUUUGUGACGGUACCUAGAUAAGAAGCACCGGCUAACUACGUG